UACAGAGGUGGCUAGCGUUGUUCGGAUUUACUGGGCGUAAAGGGUGCGUAGGCGGCUUCGUAAGUCGAAUGUGAAAGCCCGUCGCUCAACGACGGAAGUGCAUUGGAAACUGCGAGGCUUGAGUGCAGGAGGGGAGAGCGGAAUUCCUGGUGUAGCGGUGAAAUGCGUUGAGAUCAGGAAGAACGCCGGUGGCGAAGGCGGCUCUCUGGAAUGUAACUGACGCUGAGGCAAGAAAGCCAGGGGAGCAAACAGG
RNAcentral lists this ribosomal RNA (253 nucleotides) under uncultured bacterium. RNAcentral's name for it is "partial 16S ribosomal RNA". It matches the Rfam family "Bacterial small subunit ribosomal RNA", at positions 524 to 776 of the family's 1533-position model. The record is from RNAcentral.